RNAcentral lists this transfer-messenger RNA (355 nucleotides) under Deltaproteobacteria bacterium. It matches the Rfam family "transfer-messenger RNA". From Rfam's summary of the family: Bacterial tmRNA, also known as 10Sa RNA or SsrA, is named for its dual tRNA and mRNA-like properties. Its role is to liberate the mRNA from a stalled ribosome. To accomplish this part of the tmRNA is used as a reading frame that ends in a translation stop signal. Lineage: Bacteria; Pseudomonadati; Myxococcota; Myxococcia. The record is from RNAcentral.
GGGGGCGAACAGGGUUCGACGGGGAUAGUUGAGACCACAGUGGCAGGCCGAGCAACCCAUUGACUCGUUAAUCCAAGGGACAAAACUGAAAAGCAGACUCCUACGAGUACGCUCUGGCUGCUUGAGCCAGCGUCUCCGGUUUAACGUGGCCCGCGGUGGGCCGGAGGCGUAGUUAAACGGGCUGGACGCCAUGGGGUUUCUAACCGACCCUGGCGGCGAGAAAAUUUGGUUGGAUAGCCUCAAAGAAGCCCGUUUAUCGGCGUCCGCGAGGCGAAAACUCAAACGGUAAACUAAGCCUGUAGAAGCUUUGGGGGAAGAUCUUCGGACGCGGGUUCAAUUCCCGCCGCCUCCACCA